AUGCUGGAGGUAUCAGAAGUGCGAAUGCUGACAUAAGUAACGAUAAAGCGGGUGAAAAGCCCGCUCGCCGGAAGACCAAGGGUUCCUGUCCAACGUUAAUCGGGGCAGGGUGAGUCGACCCCUAAGGCGAGGCCGAAAGGCGUAGUCGAUGGGAAACAGGUUAAUAUUCCUGUACUUGGUGUUACUGCGAAGGGGGGACGGAGAAGGCUAUGUUGGCCGGGCGACGGUUGUCCCGGUUUAAGCGUGUAGGCUGGUUUUCCAGGCAAAUCCGGAAAAUCAAGGCUGAGGCGUGAUGACGAGGCACUACGGUGCUGAAGCAACAAAUGCCCUGCUUCCAGGAAAAGCCUCUAAGCAUCAGGUAACAUCAAAUCGUACCCCAAACCGACACAGGUGGUCAGGUAGAGAAUACCAAGGCGCUUGAGAGAACUCGGGUGAAGGAACUAGGCAAAAUGGUGCCGUAACUUCGGGAGAAGGCACGCUGAUAUGUAGGUGAAGUCCCUCGCGGAUGGAGCUGAAAUCAGUCGAAGAUACCAGCUGGCUGCAACUGUUUAUUAAAAACACAGCACUGUGCAAACACGAAAGUGGACGUAUACGGUGUGACGCCUGCCCGGUGCCGGAAGGUUAAUUGAUGGGGUCAGCGCAAGCGAAGCUCUUGAUCGAAGCCCCGGUAAACGGCGGCCGUAACUAUAACGGUCCUAAGGUAGCGAAAUUCCUUGUCGGGUAAGUUCCGACCUGCACGAAUGGCGUAAUGAUGGCCAGGCUGUCUCCACCCGAGACUCAGUGAAAUUGAACUCGCUGUGAAGAUGCAGUGUACCCGCGGCAAGACGGAAAGACCCCGUGAACCUUUACUAUAGCUUGACACUGAACAUUGAGCCUUGAUGUGUAGGAUAGGUGGGAGGCUUUGAAGUGUGGACGCCAGUCUGCAUGGAGCCGACCUUGAAAUACCACCCUUUAAUGUUUGAUGUUCUAACGUUGACCCGUGAUCCGGGUUGCGGACAGUGUCUGGUGGGUAGUUUGACUGGGGCGGUCUCCUCCUAAAGAGUAACGGAGGAGCACGAAGGUUGGCUAAUCCUGGUCGGACAUCAGGAGGUUAGUGCAAUGGCAUAAGCCAGCUUGACUGCGAGCGUGACGGCGCGAGCAGGUGCGAAAGCAGGUCAUAGUGAUCCGGUGGUUCUGAAUGGAAGGGCCAUCGCUCAACGGAUAAAAGGUACUCCGGGGAUAACAGGCUGAUACCGCCCAAGAGUUCAUAUCGACGGCGGUGUUUGGCACCUCGAUGUCGGCUCAUCACAUCCUGGGGCUGAAGUAGGUCCCAAGGGUAUGGCUGUUCGCCAUUUAAAGUGGUACGCGAGCUGGGUUUAGAACGUCGUGAGACAGUUCGGUCCCUAUCUGCCGUGGGCGCUGGAGAA
RNAcentral lists this ribosomal RNA (1406 nucleotides) under Escherichia coli. RNAcentral describes it as "partial 23S ribosomal RNA". It matches the Rfam family "Bacterial large subunit ribosomal RNA", at positions 1270 to 2661 of the family's 2925-position model. Lineage: Bacteria; Pseudomonadati; Pseudomonadota; Gammaproteobacteria; Enterobacterales; Enterobacteriaceae. The record is from RNAcentral.